AGAGUUUGAUCAUGGCUCAGAUUGAACGCUGGCGGCAGGCCUAACACAUGCAAGUCGAACGGUAACAGGAAGCAGCUUGCUGCUUUGCUGACGAGUGGCGGACGGGUGAGUAAUGUCUGGGAAACUGCCUGAUGGAGGGGGAUAACUACUGGAAACGGUAGCUAAUACCGCAUAACGUCGCAAGACCAAAGAGGGGGACCUUCGGGCCUCUUGCCAUCGGAUGUGC
RNAcentral lists this ribosomal RNA (226 nucleotides) under Enterobacter hormaechei. RNAcentral describes it as "Small Subunit Ribosomal RNA; ssuRNA; SSU rRNA". It matches the Rfam family "Bacterial small subunit ribosomal RNA", at positions 8 to 230 of the family's 1533-position model. The record is from RNAcentral. Lineage: Bacteria; Pseudomonadati; Pseudomonadota; Gammaproteobacteria; Enterobacterales; Enterobacteriaceae.